This 623-nucleotide long non-coding RNA is filed under the name Nicotiana benthamiana. RNAcentral's name for it is "long non-coding RNA (NBEN_LNC036374)". Lineage: Eukaryota; Viridiplantae; Streptophyta; Magnoliopsida; Solanales; Solanaceae. The record is from RNAcentral.
UCUCACAUUAUUUUCUCUGUAAUAACAUCUCUCUCCAUUCCAGAGAGUUCCAAACGCUCCUCCUUCUCUCUACUUUCUCUCUCUACAUUUUCUAUGAUUUCUCGGUCUAUUGUCAAUGUUUACAUGGUAUCAGAGCCUAGACGACGAUCCGACUAUGUUUCUCUACAUCUCGUUGUCUUUGUUGAACUCCUUUUUGAGAUUUUUUGGGGAUUUUUCUGAGACCUUAUGGUCGAUGAUGCUUCUGACCUAGAUCGGAUGUUUUUCCGAGUUUUUCAUCAUGAUAUCUGAGUGUAUUUUCUUCACUCGCACAUUCUGAGAGAUUUUCUGCUGAUUUUUGGGUGGCUUCUCGGUGACCUAUCGGCUUUUAGGAUUUCUGGUGGUUUAACCUAGACUUCUACUGUUAUCCGGUGGCUCGAUUCUCACUCAGUGGAUGUUUUGGGUGCCUUUCCGACAUUCCUGACCACAUUUCAGUAAGGACUUCAAAGGUUACACCUAGGGUUUUGUACCUAGGGUUUUCUCUGUUGUUUGAAGGUCGAUCUUCUCCGGUCGCGAAGAAGGAGGGUAACUCUGUCCUUAUCUUGAGUAUUGUAUGCUUUGUGUGUGAUUAUCUGACUCCGUAUGNN